GGUGGCCCAGUGGUUAGAGCGUCCGCUUCGAAUGCGAAAGACCGUGGGUUCUAACCUCGGCCAAUUCA
Potamilus streckersoni is the source of this 68-nucleotide non-coding RNA. The record is from the annotation of a GenBank genome assembly. NCBI's taxonomy places the organism in Eukaryota, Metazoa, Mollusca, Bivalvia, Unionida, Unionidae.